CCUACGGGUGGCAGCAGUGGGGAAUAUUGCACAAUGGAGGGAACUCUGAUGCAGCGACGCCGCGUGAGUGAAGAAGUAAUUCGUUAUGUAAAGCUCUUUCUGCAGGGAAGAAAGUGACGGUACCUGAAAAAGACGCUCCGGCCAAAUACGGGCCAGUAGCCGCGGUACUACGUAUGGAGCCAGCGUUAUCCGGAUUUACGGGGUGUAAAGGGAGAGUAGGUGGCAGAGCAAGUCCGGAGUGAAAACCUAAAGCUCAACUAUGGGAGUGCUUUAGAAACUGCUCAGCUAGAGUGCAGGAGAGGCAAGUGGAAUGCGUAGUGUAGCGGGGAAAUGCGUAGAUAUUAGGAGGAACGCCAGUGGCGAAGGCGGCUUGCUGGACUGUAACUGACGCUGAGGCUCGAAAGCGUGGGGAGCAAACAGGAUUAGAUACCCUUGUAGUC
Molecule: ribosomal RNA, 440 nt
Filed under: uncultured bacterium
Lineage: Bacteria
Description: partial 16S ribosomal RNA
Rfam family: Bacterial small subunit ribosomal RNA
Source: RNAcentral